UUAGAGUUUGAUCCUGGCUCAGGAUGAACGCUAGCGGCAGGCUUAACACAUGCAAGUCGAGGGGCAGCGAGAUCAGUGCUUGCACUGAUUGUCGGCGACCGGCGCACGGGUGCGUAACGCGUAUGCAACCUACCCAUUACAGGGGGAUAACACUGAGAAAUCGGUACUAAUACCCCAUAACAUCCAGGGAGGCAUCUUCUUGGGUUGAAAACUCCGGUGGUAAUGGAUGGGCAUGCGUUGUAUUAGUUAGUUGGUGGGGUAACGGCUCACCAAGACAACGAUACAUAGGGGGACUGAGAGGUUAACCCCCCACAUUGGUACUGAGACACGGACCAAACUCCUACGGGAGGCAGCAGUGAGGAAUAUUGGUCAAUGGACGCAAGUCUGAACCAGCCAUGCCGCGUGCAGGAAGACGGCUCUAUGAGUUGUAAACUGCUUUUGUACGAGGGUAAACGCAGAUACGCGUAUCUGUCUGAAAGUAUCGUACGAAUAAGGAUCGGCUAACUCCGUGCCAGCAGCCGCGGUAAUACGGAGGAUUCAAGCGUUAUCCGGAUUUAUUGGGUUUAAAGGGUGCGUAGGCGGUCGGAUAAGUUAGAGGUGAAACCCCGGGGCUCAACUUCGGAAUUGCCUCUGAUACUGUUCGGCUAGAGAGUAGUUGCGGUAGGCGGAAUGUAUGGUGUAGCGGUGAAAUGCUUAGAGAUCAUACAGAACACCGAUUGCGAAGGCAGCUUACCAAGCUACUUCUGACGUUGAGGCACGAAAGCGUGGGGAGCAAACAGGAUUAGAUACCCUGGUAGUCCACGCAGUAAACGAUGAUAACUCGUUGUCGGCGAUACAGUGUCGGUGACUAAGCGAAAGCGAUAAGUUAUCCACCUGGGGAGUACGUUCGCAAGAAUGAAACUCAAAGGAAUUGACGGGGGCACGCACAAGCGGAGGAACAUGUGGUUUAAUUCGAUGAUACGCGAGGAACCUUACCCGGGCUUGAAAGUUAGUGACGGAUCUUGAAAGAGGUCUUCCCUUCGGGGCACGAAACUAGGUGCUGCAUGGUUGUCGUCAGCUCGUGCCGUGAGGUGUCGGGUUAAGUCCCAUAACGAGCGCAACCCCUACCGUUAGUUGCCAGCAGGUCAAGCUGGGCACUCUGACGGGACUGCCGGUGUAAGCCGAGAGGAAGGUGGGGAUGACGUCAAAUCAGCACGGCCCUUACGUCCGGGGCUACACACGUGUUACAAUGGCAGGUACAGAGGGCAGCUACCCAGCGAUGGGAUGCGAAUCUCGAAAGCCUGUCUCAGUUCGGAUUGGAGGCUGAAACCCGCCUCCAUGAAGUUGGAUUCGCUAGUAAUCGCGCAUCAGCCAUGGCGCGGUGAAAACGUUCCCGGGCCUUGCACUCACCGCCCGUCAAG
Molecule: ribosomal RNA, 1400 nt
Filed under: uncultured bacterium
Lineage: Bacteria
Description: bacterial SSU rRNA
Rfam family: Bacterial small subunit ribosomal RNA
Source: RNAcentral